ACUGCAUUUUUAGCCAUGGUGGCUAAAAACUCACAAGUGUAGGUAAUGUGCAAGUCUUGGGAGGGGCAAGUCUUGGGCUUACACAAGGACCUCUUCUGGCCUAUUGAGUGGAGUUUGAUAGUAAUUCUUGCUAUAAGC
RNAcentral lists this small nucleolar RNA (138 nucleotides) under Neogale vison (American mink). Lineage: Eukaryota; Metazoa; Chordata; Mammalia; Carnivora; Mustelidae. The record is from RNAcentral.